ACACCAUAGCAACAAAACAUAAGUAAUAAACAAAGGCAGAGAAAAAUCAACAAAUGGGAGGCGCGUUGGCACCUCAGGAUGACGUCAUAGGAAGGAGGAGUCACAUCGCUUCAUUGACAGGGAAGGGCGAGUUGGAGGCAGUGCGAGCUGGCCCGGACCAAAGUUUUGGCGUGAGCGUGGGUGGGGGAAUUAGCCGAAUGUGUACUCCUAGAACUUCCACGACGAGUCACGCAGGACUGUCUCAGCAUUCCGCAGGGAGACGCGUGGGUUUCCUUCCUGUUCCCACGCCUCGAAGCAGGAAGACACGCCCGCCAAGUCAUCUGCUUCAGGGAAAUGAUCGAAUCAGCGUGAAAAAAACAGGAAUGCUAACGAGAAGCUUCCUCUUCUUCCAGGUUCAAACGUCCUAUCAACCAAGCAUCCCUAACCACCACUUCCACUUCGCCAGCUUCGUCAGUACAUUUCCACGCGUCGCGGGAACCAGCACGCUCCAACACGCUGGCAAGAUAGUGGCAACUCUUACACCAAUGACGUCACUGCGGGAGGGGAGGGUGAGUCAGUCUCAUUCAUCGCCACGUUGCUGGACUCGUCUCAUCCUGACUUGCUGUUUGCCUCCGUCAGGAAAAGUAGAUCGCUCACAGACGAUGAAUAUAAACACAUGCCCUCAGCCGUCACGUGAUUGAGAUAUACGUUGAAAUAGGAAAGAAAUGGGUGGACGUAGAAUGAGAGAAAAAGAACAGAAGGAAAGAAACAGGGAGAGUGGGAGGGAGAGAGCGGUUGGGUGAGGUGUACUGGUAG
This is a long non-coding RNA of Scylla paramamosain (green mud crab), 795 nucleotides long. RefSeq lists it as uncharacterized. The record is from RefSeq and is a predicted model, not a curated record. The transcript is spliced from 3 exons. Lineage: Eukaryota; Metazoa; Arthropoda; Malacostraca; Decapoda; Portunidae.